GAAAUAUUGAAAUUUUGCAUUGAUGAACAAAGCAUUACAAAAUCCCAAGCUCAAUACACAUAACUUGGUACUACAACUCUCAAUAAACAUAGAGCAAAGCCUAAAAAUAUAGAGUCAUAGGACUAAUUUAUUUAACUUGAAAUCUUCUCCAACAGCAGCCAACCCAGAUGACCUCACCAGAGGACGCCUUUUAUUAGCAAAGACCAAUCAGCUAGUAACAACAACCACCGAAGAAGAUUUGUAAACUCAGGACAAGAGAAACAUCAAGGGGAUGCCUAACUGUAUUUAAACCUUUUCAACUAGAUCUCAUGAUCCCCCAAUCAAGGGAAACAAGUCCAAUUAUAAAAGGUGAGAGAAGUAGCAACACAACAGAGGAACCAAAUGGCUAGACCAAGGCUAGCUAAAACCGAGAAAUGGCAUGUGAAAUACACAGGCAUCUCAAUCUCCUUUAGCCCUGACAGUCUAUACCCAAACAUACUCAUUUACGCUGCCUUGUACACUAGCCAAUACGGACACUCCCUUUUGUCAAGAACAGAAACCUUGGCACACCGAUCUGCACCAUAACCCUCACAAUGAAGCAUAACCACCAUAGACCAUUAGUGAGCCAAACACCCAUCAAAACUAUACAUGACCUUACCAAAGAGGACAAGGGAGAUCCAUCCUUCAAUAGGUGAACUGAGAAGAGCUGAAACAGAGAGGAGCCGCCCCCCUGCCCAAAGGACAGUGAACGGCCGCAUUGCAUGAAAAACCAUGACUGAGAAACCCGAGAACUCUAGAAGAGAGAAGAAAUUCUCACAAACAGGGAGACGAGCUCCCUAACUGACAAGUUAUUAAU
RNAcentral lists this unclassified non-coding RNA (835 nucleotides) under Hevea brasiliensis (rubber tree). Lineage: Eukaryota; Viridiplantae; Streptophyta; Magnoliopsida; Malpighiales; Euphorbiaceae. The record is from RNAcentral.